AGGGAAUCUUCCACAAUGGACGAAAGUCUGAUGGAGCAACGCCGCGUGAGUGAUGAAGGUUUUCGGAUCGUAAAACUCUGUUGUAAGGGAAGAACCAGUAUGUCAGGCAAUGGACGUACCUUGACGGUACCUUAUUAGAAAGCCACGGCUAACUACGUGCCAGCAGCCGCGGUAAUACGUAGGGUGCAAGCGUUAAUCGGAAUUACUGGGCGUAAAGCGUGCGCAGGCGGUUUUGUAAGACAGUGGUGAAAUCCCCGGGCUCAACCUGGGAACUGCCAUUGUGACUGCAAGGCUGGAGUGCGGCAGAGGGGGAUGGAAUUCCGCGUGUAGCAGUGAAAUGCGUAGAUAUGCGGAGGAACACCGAUGGCGAAGGCAAUCCCCUGGGCCUGCACUGACGCUCAUGCACGAAAGCGUGGGGAGCAAACA
RNAcentral lists this ribosomal RNA (426 nucleotides) under uncultured Comamonadaceae bacterium. RNAcentral describes it as "bacterial SSU rRNA". It matches the Rfam family "Bacterial small subunit ribosomal RNA", at positions 356 to 774 of the family's 1533-position model. Lineage: Bacteria; Pseudomonadati; Pseudomonadota; Betaproteobacteria; Burkholderiales; Comamonadaceae. The record is from RNAcentral.